Pteropus vampyrus (large flying fox) is the source of this 107-nucleotide small nuclear RNA. The record is from Ensembl. Lineage: Eukaryota; Metazoa; Chordata; Mammalia; Chiroptera; Pteropodidae.
GUGCUCACUUCAGCAGCACAUGUACUAAAAUCGGAACAAUAUGGAGAAGACUAGCAUCGUUCCUGCACAAUGAUGGCAUGCAAAUUCAUAAAGUGUUCCAUAUUUCU